GCGGUCGGACAUAGGUUGUUUUUUGGACCAGGGGGAAGGGGGCCGACACGUGAGUAACUGCCCUCAACUCUGGGAUAAGCCUGGGAAACUGGGUCUAAUAUCGGAAGGAGCGCCCACCGCAUGGUGGGUGUUGGAAAGAUUUAUCGGUUUUGGAUGGACUCGCGGCCUAUCAGCUUGUUGGUGAGGUAAUGGCUCACCAAGGCGACGACGGGUAGCCGGCCUGAGAGGGUGACCUUUUUACACUGGGACUGAGACACGGCCCAGACUCCUACGGGAGGCAGCAGUGGGGAAAAAAGCACAGGGGCGCAAGCCUGAUGCAGCGACGCCGCGUGAGGGAUGACGGCCUUCGGGUUGUAAACCUCUUUCAGUAGGGAACAAGCGAAAGUGACGGUUCCUGCAGAAGAAGCACCGGCUAACUACGUGCCAGCAGCCGCGGUAAUACGUAGGGUGCGAGCGUUAUCCGGAAUUUUGGGCGUAAAGAGCUUGUAGGCGGUUUGUCGCGUCUGUCGUAAAAGUCGGGGCUUAAACCCGGAAUCUGCGGUGGGUACGGGCAGACUAGAGUUCCAGUAGGGAAACUGGAAUCCCUGGGUACGGUGGGAUGGCCAAUAUCAGAGGGAACCCCAUGGCGAGGCCGGGUUUUUGGCUGUACCGGCUUAGGAAGAAAGCCAUGGGAACCGACCAGAAAUAAAAUCCCUGUAAGCCAUUCCCGUAACGUUUGGGCCUAGGGUGUGGGGCCCUUUCCCCGGUUUCCGCCCGCAGGUUACGCCAUAAAGUCCCCGCCUUGGGAAGUCGGCCGCCAAGCUUAAAACCAAAGGGAUUUGCGGGGGGCCGGCACAACGGCGGAGCCUGCCGAUUUAUUUGAAUCACCCGAAAAACCUUUCCAAAGCUUUCAUGUUUUAAUCCGGAAAAAUCCGGUUCCCCUUUUGGGCCGGGUUCAAUUGGGCCAUGGUGGUUCCAGCGUGUUGUGAGAUUGUUGGGUUAAUUCCCCCAGAGCCACCUGGUCAAUUCGAAAAAGGUGGUCUUCCGCCCCGGUACCAGAGUGAGCAACCUCCUAAAAAAAGCUUCAGCUGUACAUGCCGGCAAGGGUUGAAAUUGGAGAAAAAGUAACCCCAAAAACCCGGUCAAGUGGAUUGGGUUGGAACUCCCCCAUGAAU
RNAcentral lists this ribosomal RNA (1154 nucleotides) under Micrococcus luteus. Its description in RNAcentral is "bacterial SSU rRNA". It matches the Rfam family "Bacterial small subunit ribosomal RNA", at positions 65 to 1162 of the family's 1533-position model. The record is from RNAcentral. Lineage: Bacteria; Bacillati; Actinomycetota; Actinomycetes; Micrococcales; Micrococcaceae.